AUGACUUCUUUUAGUGAAGUUGGAAUGAACUUCCAUCCACGUGUUCCCUUUUUGGGAGUACUUCCUCCGUUCCUAAAUACAAGUCAUUUUAGAGAUUUCAAUAUGAACUUUACCAGAUAUUCCAUUAUGAUAGGAAAUGUUGUUUUCAUGUCUUCGUUUAUUCUUGAUGGACACUAUCCAAAUUUACUAAGUGGUUUGACUAACAUGUUUGAUUUUGUUUCAACUCUUUUGGCAGGCUUAAGGUUUCAUGGAGCUAAUGCGAACCUGAUUUAUUUGUUGUUGGAAGUUUGGGACUCAUAUCUUUAA
Molecule: ribosomal RNA, 306 nt
Filed under: Triticum aestivum (bread wheat)
Lineage: Eukaryota; Viridiplantae; Streptophyta; Magnoliopsida; Poales; Poaceae
Description: partial small subunit ribosomal RNA
Source: RNAcentral